UGUUUUUGUUGAAUGUUAAAGGAUUGUACUUCACCUCCUAAAAAGAAGUCCAAGUCUAAUGUUUCUAAAGAGAGGGAUGGUAGCUCCAAGAAAAAGACAACGGUAUUAGCGGCCCAAAAGAAGACAACAGACUUAGCAUCCAAGGAAUUUUCGCAUCCAAAGAAGUCGAAUUCUAAGCCUAAGUCCAACUUAGAGGUCGUGGGUAGUUGUGAUCGUAAAACACAAGAAUCAACCACCAAAAGCAAGAAAGCGGGACUUGUACACGAUGCAAUUCAAGGUCUUGGCCCGUCAUGCAAAUACUUGCAGUUUAUCAUGACUUCGGCGCCUGAUGAUAUAUAUGAUAUUACUACCAUCCCAUAGGUGGCCUCAGUUUGGCACUCGGAUUUUGAUCAAGAAACAUACAUAACUGCGUCUGAUAUAGGAGAGUUCCUUCGCGGGGCGUGCUUAAACAUUUCAGCGAUCCAAGUCUACAUAUUGUGUUUAUUGCACGAUCAUGCCAAAUCAUUUGAAAUGUCUCGGAUUUCGUUCAUUUGUCCCGAGAUUAUGUCAAGCACUAGAAUCAAGGCCGACCCUGGAGCGCCAACAAUGUAUUUGAAAAACAUUUUCCAAGCUGAAAUUGAAAAGGAGAAGAUGGGUAAUCCUAACCUAACUAAUUGGUUUUUAAUCCCAUAUAAUCAAGAAAAUCAUUGGAAUUUAUACGUGAUGGACCUACGUAGAGGUUAUGUAUAUAUUUUCGAUUCUGCUAGAGAUCCACGUCGAACAGAUUAUGCAUGGGGAAUCUUGAGUUUG
Molecule: long non-coding RNA, 789 nt
Organism: Spinacia oleracea (spinach)
Lineage: Eukaryota; Viridiplantae; Streptophyta; Magnoliopsida; Caryophyllales; Amaranthaceae
Exons: 4
Source: RefSeq, a predicted model, not a curated record